AUGCAAGUCGAACGAACCUUCGGGUUAGUGGCGGACGGGUGAGUAACGCGUGGGAAUCUGCCCUCAGGAGGGGGAUAACGGCUGGAAACGGCCGCUAAUACCCCAUAUGCCGAGAGGUGAAAUGAAUUUCGCCUGAGGAUGAGCCCGCGUCUGAUUAGCUAGUUGGUGAGGUAAGAGCUCACCAAGGCAUCGAUCAGUAGCUGGUCUGAGAGGAUGAUCAGCCACACUGGGACUGAGACACGGCCCAGACUCCUACGGGAGGCAGCAGUGGGGAAUUUUCCGCAAUGGGCGAAAGCCUGACGGAGCAACGCCGCGUGAGGGAUGAAGGCCUCUGGGCUGUAAACCUCUUUUCUCAAGGAAGAAGAUCUGACGGUACUUGAGGAAUAAGCCACGGCUAAUUCCGUGCCAGCAGCCGCGGUAAUACGGGAGUGGCAAGCGUUAUCCGGAAUUAUUGGGCGUAAAGCGUCCGCAGGCGGCCCUUCAAGUCUGCUGUUAAAAAGUGGAGCUUAACUCCAUCAUGGCAGUGGAAACUGUUGGGCUUGAGUGUGGUAGGGGCAGAGGGAAUUCCCGGUGUAGCGGUGAAAUGCGUAGAUAUCGGGAAGAACACCAGUGGCGAAGGCGCUCUGCUGGGCCAUAACUGACGCUCAUGGACGAAAGCCAGGGGAGCGAAAGGGAUUAGAUACCCCUGUAGUCCUGGCCGUAAACGAUGAACACUAGGUGUCGGGGGAAUCGACCCCCUCGGUGUCGUAGCCAACGCGUUAAGUGUUCCGCCUGGGGAGUACGCACGCAAGUGUGAAACUCAAAGGAAUUGACGGGGGCCCGCACAAGCGGUGGAGUAUGUGGUUUAAUUCGAUGCAACGCGAAGAACCUUACCAGGAUUUGACAUCCUGCGAACCUCUUGGAAACGAGAGGGUGCCUUCGGGAACGCAGUGACAGGUGGUGCAUGGCUGUCGUCAGCUCGUGUCGUGAGAUGUUGGGUUAAGUCCCGCAACGAGCGCAACCCACGUCUUUAGUUGCCAGCAUUUAGUUGGGCACUCUAGAGAGACCGCCGGUGAUAAACCGGAGGAAGGUGUGGAUGACGUCAAGUCAUCAUGCCCCUUACAUCCUGGGCUACACACGUACUACAAUGCUACGGACAAAGAGCAGCAAGUUCGCGAGGACAAGCAAAUCUCAUAAACCGUGGCUCAGUUCAGAUCGUAGGCUGCAACUCGCCUACGUGAAGGAGGAAUCGCUAGUAAUCGCAGGUCAGCAUACUGCGGUGAAUACGUUCCCGGGCCUUGUACACACCGCCCGUCACACCAUGGAAGUUGGCCACGCCCGAAGCCGUUACUCCAACCCUCGGGAGGAGGA
This 1350-nucleotide ribosomal RNA is filed under the name Synechococcus sp. KORDI-48. RNAcentral's name for it is "bacterial SSU rRNA". It matches the Rfam family "Bacterial small subunit ribosomal RNA". Lineage: Bacteria; Bacillati; Cyanobacteriota; Cyanophyceae; Synechococcales; Synechococcaceae. The record is from RNAcentral.